UACGUAGGGCGCAAGCGUUAUCCGGAAUUAUUGGGCGUAAAGAGCUCGUAGGCGGUUUGUCGCGUCUGCCGUGAAAGUCCGGGGCUCAACUCCGGAUCUGCGGUGGGUACGGGCAGACUAGAGUGAUGUAGGGGAGACUGGAAUUCCUGGUGUAGCGGUGAAAUGCGCAGAUAUCAGGAGGAACACCGGUGGCGAAGGCGGAUCUCUGGGCCUUACCUGACGCUCAGGUGCGAAAGCUAGGGGAGCGAACAGG
Molecule: ribosomal RNA, 253 nt
Filed under: uncultured bacterium
Lineage: Bacteria
Description: partial 16S ribosomal RNA
Rfam family: Bacterial small subunit ribosomal RNA
Source: RNAcentral